AGCCGAGUGAUACUAAUUACCCGUAAGCUUAGAUAUUCUAACACCUAUUUUUUUACUAGUUUAUAUUUUCAAUAUGUCAAAUCAUACAGUUGAUUUUCAACUGCAACCAUUAAGGUGGUUAUAGCGAUGGGGCUCACCUCUUACCUUUCCGAACAGAGAAGUUAAGCCCAUUUGCGCAGAUGGUACUGCUAUUUGUGGGAGAGUAUGUCGCCGCCUUCU
Molecule: ribosomal RNA, 219 nt
Filed under: Nonlabens xylanidelens
Lineage: Bacteria; Pseudomonadati; Bacteroidota; Flavobacteriia; Flavobacteriales; Flavobacteriaceae
Source: RNAcentral